RNAcentral lists this ribosomal RNA (117 nucleotides) under uncultured bacterium. Its description in RNAcentral is "partial 16S ribosomal RNA". It matches the Rfam family "Bacterial small subunit ribosomal RNA", at positions 1357 to 1482 of the family's 1533-position model. The record is from RNAcentral.
CCACGGUGAAUACGUUCCCGGACCUUGUACACACCGCCCGUCAAGCCAUGGAAGCUGGGUGUACCUAAAGUCGGUAACCGCAAGGAGCCGCCUAGGGUAAAACUAGUAACUGGGGCU